RNAcentral lists this ribosomal RNA (372 nucleotides) under uncultured bacterium. RNAcentral's name for it is "bacterial SSU rRNA". It matches the Rfam family "Bacterial small subunit ribosomal RNA", at positions 30 to 404 of the family's 1533-position model. The record is from RNAcentral.
AUUGAACGCUGGCGGCAUGCUUUACACAUGCAAGUCGAACGGUAACAGGCCUUCGGGUGCUGACGAGUGGCGAACGGGUGAGUAAUGCAUCGGAACGUGCCCAAUCGUGGGGGAUAACGUAGCGAAAGUUACGCUAAUACCGCAUAAGCCCUGAGGGGGAAAGCAGGGGAUCGCAAGACCUUGCGCGAAUGGAGCGGCCGAUGUCAGAUUAGCUAGUUGGUGGGGUAAAGGCCUACCAAGGCGACGAUCUGUAGCGGGUCUGAGAGGAUGAUCCGCCACACUGGGACUGAGACACGGCCCAGACUCCUACGGGAGGCAGCAGUGGGGAAUUUUGGACAAUGGGCGCAAGCCUGAUCCAGCCAUGCCGCGUGC